RNAcentral lists this ribosomal RNA (474 nucleotides) under uncultured bacterium. RNAcentral describes it as "bacterial SSU rRNA". It matches the Rfam family "Bacterial small subunit ribosomal RNA", at positions 328 to 793 of the family's 1533-position model. The record is from RNAcentral.
CGCUAUCACUCCGUACGGGAGGCAGCAGGUAGGGAAUCUCCACAAUGGACGAAAGUCUGAUGGAGCAACGCCGCGUGAGUGAAGAAGGGUUUCGGCUCGUAAAACUCUGUUGUUAAAGAAGAACAUAUCUGAGAGUAACUGUUCAGGUAUUGACGGUAUUUAACCAGAAAGCCACGGCUAACUACGUGCCAGCAGCCGCGGUAAUACGUAGGUGGCAAGCGUUGUCCGGAUUUAGUUGGGCGUAAAGCGAGCGCAGGUCGGUUUUUAAGUCUGAUGUGAAAGCCUUCGGCUCAACCGAAGAAGUGCAUCGGAAACUGGAAACUUGAGUGCAGAAGAGGACAGUGGAACUCCAUGUGUAGCGGUGAAAUGCGUAGAUAUAUGGAAGAACACCAGUGGCGAAGGCGGCUGUCUGGUCUGUAACUGACGCUGAGGCUCGAAAGUAUGGGUAGCAAACAGGAUUAGAUACCCUGGUAG